Molecule: non-coding RNA, 207 nt
Filed under: Pseudoponticoccus marisrubri
Lineage: Bacteria; Pseudomonadati; Pseudomonadota; Alphaproteobacteria; Rhodobacterales; Roseobacteraceae
Also listed under: 1 other name
Source: RNAcentral
CAAACCAGCCUAGCAAACGGUCCUGCACGUGCGAGUCGCGUCAGGGGAAAGAGGGAAUGCAGUGCGGUGGCCCCGGCCGCCAAUCCUGCAGCUGCCCCCGCAACUGUGAGCGGUGAGCGAGGCCGACGGUGCCACUGGAGAGAUCCGGGAAGGCCGGCCGAGCGUCGAUCCGCAAGCCAGGAGACCUGCCGCUUGCAUGCCCUUCGG